RNAcentral lists this ribosomal RNA (815 nucleotides) under uncultured bacterium. RNAcentral describes it as "bacterial SSU rRNA". It matches the Rfam family "Bacterial small subunit ribosomal RNA", at positions 8 to 815 of the family's 1533-position model. The record is from RNAcentral.
AGAGUUUGAUCAUGGCUCAGAUUGAACGCUGGCGGCAGGCUUAACACAUGCAAGUCGAGCGGUAACAGGGGGAGCUUGCUCCCUGCUGACGAGCGGCGGACGGGUGAGUAAUGCAUAGGAAUCUGCCCAGUAGUGGGGGAUAGCCCGGGGAAACCCGGAUUAAUACCGCAUACGCCCUUUGGGGGAAAGCAGGGGAUCUUCGGACCUUGCGCUAUUGGAUGAGCCUAUGUCGGAUUAGCUAGUUGGUGGGGUAACGGCCCACCAAGGCGACGAUCCGUAGCUGGUCUGAGAGGAUGAUCAGCCACAUCGGGACUGAGACACGGCCCGAACUCCUACGGGAGGCAGCAGUGGGGAAUAUUGGACAAUGGGGGCAACCCUGAUCCAGCCAUGCCGCGUGUGUGAAGAAGGCUUUCGGGUUGUAAAGCACUUUCAGUGAGGAGGAAAACCUUAUGGCGAAUACCCAUGAGGCUUGACGUUACUCACAGAAGAAGCACCGGCUAACUCCGUGCCAGCAGCCGCGGUAAUACGGAGGGUGCAAGCGUUAAUCGGAAUUACUGGGCGUAAAGCGCGCGUAGGCGGCGUGAUAAGCCGGUUGUGAAAGCCCCGGGCUCAACCUGGGAACGGCAUCCGGAACUGUCAGGCUAGAGUGCACGAGAGGAAGGUAGAAUUCCCGGUGUAGCGGUGAAAUGCGUAGAGAUCGGGAGGAAUACCAGUGGCGAAGCGGCCUUCUGGACUGACACUGACGCUGAUGUGCGAAAGCGUGGGUAGCAAACAGGAUUAGAUACCCUGGUAGUCCACGCCGUAAACGAUGUCGA